GUGGGUACAGCUCAGUGGCAGAGCCUGUGCCUGGCAUGCAUGAGAUCCUGGGUUCAAUCCUCAGUGCCUCUG
This 72-nucleotide transfer RNA is filed under the name Camelus bactrianus (Bactrian camel). It matches the Rfam family "tRNA". Rfam says of the family: Transfer RNA (tRNA) molecules are approximately 80 nucleotides in length. Their secondary structure includes four short double-helical elements and three loops (D, anti-codon, and T loops). Lineage: Eukaryota; Metazoa; Chordata; Mammalia; Artiodactyla; Camelidae. The record is from Rfam by way of RNAcentral. RNAcentral also lists the same sequence under 2 other names.